RNAcentral lists this long non-coding RNA (489 nucleotides) under Homo sapiens (human). Its description in RNAcentral is "novel transcript". The record is from RNAcentral. Lineage: Eukaryota; Metazoa; Chordata; Mammalia; Primates; Hominidae.
CACCACAGACCAAGAUAGUUUACAAAGGCUUAAUGGAGCUCAGAUAUUUGAGAAAAAAAAAAAAAAGAUUAACCAUAUUCAGCUGAGAAAAGGGAACACAAACACAUCUGGGGAAAGUAAUCUUAAAUAAAGAUACUCAGAUGGAGAAAAACAUGUGUCAAGCCUGGACCUGGAGUAAAAGCAGACAGAAAAAAUUUGAGUUGCAAGGGAUUACAACAGCUCAGAAAGGAAAACAUUCAUGAUCUCAUUCCACCUGAAGCCAGUGCCUCUGUAAUGUGUAGCAGAAUCCUAUGGAGAAGUUGUAAAAACACAAAAUGUUGGCCCCACCCCAAGAGUUUCUGAUUUUGCAGGUCUGGAGAGGGCCUGUGAUACGUACUUCUAACAAGCUCCCAGGCGAUGCUAAUGUUGCUGGUCUAGAAACACACUUUGAGAGCCACUGUUUUACAAUGUAUUCACCCAGCUUAUGCAAUCAACUACUAUCACAGCAAA